Non-coding RNA from Silurus meridionalis, 926 nucleotides. NCBI's taxonomy places the organism in Eukaryota, Metazoa, Chordata, Actinopteri, Siluriformes, Siluridae. The record is from the annotation of a RefSeq genome assembly.
CACUUAAGACCUGUUUUUUUGACUCUGCUCUUCUUUGCACCUUUGUAGGAUUCUGCCUGAGGUUAAAGAAAAAGGGAAAGAAAUGUAAGAUAUGAAUAAUAAAAAGUGAGAAAAGAAACUGAAAAGAAAAAAGUGGAAAGACGAAAAAAAAAAAACCCAGAAACUUAAACAAAGAUAUUAGACAAAUUUGAAAAGGACCAACAUACAUUUAUUUAACAAAAAAAAAAAAAAAAACACUUUCUGCCCAAUCAGAACUGAGAAAACAACUGUUAUUUGUGUAUAAAUUAAAAAAAGUUUUUAAAGAGGUUUCUAUCAUAGAAAAGAUUUAAUCCUCCAUAAGUCAAAUCUCCUCCUCAUGAUUUAAAUAUGUUCGUCCACCCGUCAUCAGCAGAUAUCCAAAUCAAAAAGUCAGGGCUGGACAUCACUCUAUUUAUGUGAUGCUUAAACUCUGUUAAACUUUGGAGAACAGAGAAGACCCCAGUACAAACAUCACACACCAUGUUCUCUACAUCUCUACUGCUCCUGCUGGCAGCUGCUUCCUAUGUGCAUGGUGUGGAACUGACUCAGCCUGCUUCCAUGACAGUCCAGCCAGGCCAGAGUCUCUCCAUCAACUGCAAGGUUUCAUAUUCAGUUACGAGCUAUCACACAGCUUGGAUCCGACAACCUGCAGGAAAAGCUCUGAAGUGGAUUGGGUACAUCAGCAGCGGUGGAAUUCUAUAUUACAGUGACAAACUGAAAAAUAAGAUUAGCAUCUCCAGAGACACGUCUACUAACACCAUAACAAUUCAAGGACAGAACAUGCAGACUGAAGACACAGCUGUGUAUUACUGCGCUCGAGACUCACAGUGAGACACGUCACCAACAUCCCUGUACAAAAACAUCCUGUACAGAAAACUGUUCAUCAGAAAUACAAAAAUGAACCAGUA